This is a non-coding RNA of Salmo salar (Atlantic salmon), 54 nucleotides long. NCBI's taxonomy places the organism in Eukaryota, Metazoa, Chordata, Actinopteri, Salmoniformes, Salmonidae. The record is from Rfam.
UGCAUUCACUACUGUAAAUCGCUCUGGAUAAGAACGUCUGCUAAAUGACUAAAA